This is a non-coding RNA of Labeo rohita (rohu), 78 nucleotides long. NCBI's taxonomy places the organism in Eukaryota, Metazoa, Chordata, Actinopteri, Cypriniformes, Cyprinidae. The record is from the annotation of a RefSeq genome assembly.
GUCUCUGUGGCGCAAUCGGUUAGUUAGCGCGUUCGGCUGUUAACCGAAAGGUUGGUGGUUCGAGCCCACCCAGGGACG